GCAGGGAUAACACCUCACACUCCUACUCUCUCAUGGCUCUCGCCUUAGUCUAUAAAUAGAGACAAACAAGAGACCCAAAGAUAAGCACAAUCUCUCUCACGCUCACUCCUUCAUAUUUAUUCAAGAUUUCUGACUUGGAUGUCGGAAGGUCCUAUCGAAACCAACUCUGAUCAAAAACUUAUUUUGUAGGUCUUGUCGUCAUUGUCCUGUAGUCACCGCCUACCUCUAGCCAAGCCAACUCGAGCUAAAAAAUUUGCAGUAACAGUUGGUGCU
This 273-nucleotide long non-coding RNA is filed under the name Elaeis guineensis (African oil palm). Its description in RNAcentral is "long non-coding RNA (EGUI_LNC053950)". Lineage: Eukaryota; Viridiplantae; Streptophyta; Magnoliopsida; Arecales; Arecaceae. The record is from RNAcentral.